AGGACGAACGCUGGCGGCGUGCCUAACACAUGCAAGUCGAGCGGGGAACCCCUCGGGGGUUUCAGCGGCGGACGGGUGAGUAACGCGUGAGCAACCUUUCCUUCACAGGGGGAUAACGCAGCGAAAGCUGUGCUAAUACCGCUUAAGACCACAAUGUCGCAUGGCGAAGGGGUCAAAAGGAGAAAUCCGGUGAAGGGUGGGCUCGCGUCUGAUUAGCUAGUUGGCGGGGUAACAGCCCACCAAGGCAACGAUCAGUAGCCGACCUGAGAGGGUGAUCGGCCACACUGGGACUGAGACACGGCCCAGACUCCUACGGGAGGCAGCAGUGGGGAAUAUUGGGCAAUGGGGGGAAACCCUGACCCAGCAACGCCGCGUGAGGGAAGAAGGUUUUCGGAUCGUAAACCUCUGUCCUCAGGGACGAAGAAAUGACGGUACCUGAGGAGGAAGCCCCGGCUAACUACGUGCCAGCCGCCGC
RNAcentral lists this ribosomal RNA (475 nucleotides) under uncultured bacterium. RNAcentral's name for it is "bacterial SSU rRNA". It matches the Rfam family "Bacterial small subunit ribosomal RNA", at positions 26 to 518 of the family's 1533-position model. The record is from RNAcentral.